AUCUCAGGUUUCACCCCAGUGUUUCGGAUACGAGAUAGCUGCUCGGGUGACUUAAACCCAGCCCAAUGAGAUGAAAGCCAAUCUCUUCUUUUAGGAACAUAAUCUUUGCUAGCCAAGAAUUCUUCAUUGAGGAUGGAAUUGACCUUCUCUUGUAUCUUUUGAAUAUCUUCUUCAACCACCUGCCCAGAUUCUAAAAGUUUCGUUCGGUAAAUCUCAAGAGAUGAGGGAUGAUUUCGAAUGACCUGAUACAUUUUUGGUUGUGUGAAAGAUGGCUCAUCGAUCUCAUUAUGUCCAAAUCGACGAUAACACACCAAAUCAACCACAACAUCAGAAUGGAAAGUCUGGCGCCACUCAGCUGCAAG
RNAcentral lists this unclassified non-coding RNA (362 nucleotides) under Hevea brasiliensis (rubber tree). Lineage: Eukaryota; Viridiplantae; Streptophyta; Magnoliopsida; Malpighiales; Euphorbiaceae. The record is from RNAcentral.